ACAUCCCUCUGACCGCUCUAGAGAUAGAGUUUUCCUUCGGGACAGAGGUGACAGGUGGUGCAUGGUUGUCGUCAGCUCGUGUCGUGAGAUGUUGGGUUAAGUCCCGCAACGAGCGCAACCCCUAUUGUUAGUUGCCAUCAUUCAGUUGGGCACUCUAGCGAGACUGCCGGUAAUAAACCGGAGGAAGGUGGGGAUGACGUCAAAUCAUCAUGCCCCUUAUGACCUGGGCUACACACGUGCUACAAUGGCUGGUACAACGAGUCGCAAGCCGGUGACGGCAAGCUAAUCUCUUAAAGCCAGUCUCAGUUCGGAUUGUAGGCUGCAACUCGCCUACAUGAAGUCGGAAUCGCUAGUAAUCGCGGAUCAGCACGCCGCGGUGAAUACGUUCCCGGGCCUUGUACACACCGCCCGUCACACCACGAGAGUUUGUAACACCCGAAGUCGGUGAGGUAACCAUUUGGAGCCAGCCGCCUAGGGUGGGAUAGAUGAUUGGGGUGAAGUCGUAACAAGGUAAGCGUAGCGAG
Molecule: ribosomal RNA, 524 nt
Filed under: uncultured bacterium
Lineage: Bacteria
Description: bacterial SSU rRNA
Rfam family: Bacterial small subunit ribosomal RNA
Source: RNAcentral